AUGCCUGUUAUUCAGCAACUUCAACAUCCAUCUUGUCAGCAAGCAGGUAAUGGAGUAAUUUUCUCCUUACUCCCUCAUCUUUCACGCAAGCUGAAUGAAUGUAUUUCUUACAGAGUGAAACAGCUCCAUGUGAGAGGCUGCUGCAUCCCUCCCUCCCUGCUGGUACACCCCCGAACGCUCCAGGGCAAGGCACUUCCAGAAAUGUUGGUUCAGAUAUCAUCAGCCAGAAAAGGCAGCAGAUCCCACACAACCAGGGUACCCUAACCACCAGUCUAUUUAAAAUGAGAUUACCAAGCUUGAGCUCCCUGAGUGCCUGGCUGUGGGCUGAGCAAACACAGCAAAACUGAGAAGAGACAAACCAGCUUUAUUUAGUGAGUUUCUAACACGAAGAAGAGAGAAACCAGCUUUAUUUGGUGAGUUUCUAAUGUUAAUGUAAUUUGGAUCAAAUAUUGUUAAGAGAACCCAAGCUAUUGGCAGGACAAGUCUUGCAGAAGAUGGUUUUGUCACCAAAUAAUUUGCCAGGUUCUGGUCAUUUUUGGUAACAAAACUGGACCUGCCAGCUUCUGACCAAACUGGCAAUAAUGAGCAACUAACCCAAGGCCUGAGGGUGGCUAAAAGUUGUCUUCCCCAAGGAUGUAAAGUACAGUUUUUCUUAAAAGUGUUUUAUUUUGUUUUUAAUAUCUUACAUGCAUUUUCAUCAAUCCAGAUUCAGAAUUUUUUCUUAAGAGGUCUGAAUGAAUGCUGCACCUGAAAAAGGUACUUGUUAACUUUUACAGGCUCUUAAUAAUAUUCUACUCAAAGGAGCAGCCACCACAAACAGGACUUGCACAAGUUAUAGAGCAGUGUUUAAAGCUACCCUGAUGGUUUGCAUUGAUUGUGCAACCCAUUCAAAUCUACAGAAGAUCUGGGCUCUUUAGCGAUUUCUGACUAAAGUCAACCACAGUAGACCAAAUUUCAGAUGCCAAAAGUCAAACCACAGCCAGACUUGUGAACAGUAAGUACAGUACACAGAGAAGGAUUUUGGAAUGUUGUUUUAGUCAACUUUUCACAGUAGUGGAAGUGAAGUUACCAUU
RNAcentral lists this long non-coding RNA (1073 nucleotides) under Junco hyemalis (dark-eyed junco). RNAcentral's name for it is "lncRNA (ENSJHYG00000011656.1)". Lineage: Eukaryota; Metazoa; Chordata; Aves; Passeriformes; Passerellidae. The record is from RNAcentral.